This 928-nucleotide ribosomal RNA is filed under the name Weissella paramesenteroides. RNAcentral describes it as "bacterial SSU rRNA". It matches the Rfam family "Bacterial small subunit ribosomal RNA", at positions 38 to 919 of the family's 1533-position model. Lineage: Bacteria; Bacillati; Bacillota; Bacilli; Lactobacillales; Lactobacillaceae. The record is from RNAcentral.
GGGGGCGGGGGCCUAUACAUGCAAGUCGAACGCUUUGUCUUUAAUUGAUCUGACGAGCUUGCUCUGAUUUGAUUUUAUCUGACAAAGAGUGGCGAACGGGUGAGUAACACGUGGGUAACCUACCUCUUAGCAGGGGAUAACAUUUGGAAACAAGUGCUAAUACCGUAUAAUACCAACAACCGCAUGGUUGUUGGUUGAAAGAUGGUUCUGCUAUCACUAAGAGAUGGACCCGCGGUGCAUUAGCUAGUUGGUAAGGUAACGGCUUACCAAGGCAAUGAUGCAUAGCCGAGUUGAGAGACUGAUCGGCCACAAUGGGACUGAGACACGGCCCAUACUCCUACGGGAGGCAGCAGUAGGGAAUCUUCCACAAUGGGCGCAAGCCUGAUGGAGCAACGCCGCGUGUGUGAUGAAGGGUUUCGGCUCGUAAAACACUGUUAUAAGAGAAGAACGGCACUGAGAGUAACUGUUCAGUGUGUGACGGUAUCUUACCAGAAAGGAACGGCUAAAUACGUGCCAGCAGCCGCGGUAAUACGUAUGUUCCAAGCGUUAUCCGGAUUUAUUGGGCGUAAAGCGAGCGCAGACGGUUAUUUAAGUCUGAAGUGAAAGCCCUCAGCUCAACUGAGGAAUGGCUUUGGAAACUGGAUGACUUGAGUGCAGUAGAGGAAAGUGGAACUCCAUGUGUAGCGGUGAAAUGCGUAGAUAUAUGGAAGAACACCAGUGGCGAAGGCGGCUUUCUGGACUGUAACUGACGUUGAGGCUCGAAAGUGUGGGUAGCAAACAGGAUUAGAUACCCUGGUAGUCCACACCGUAAACGAUGAGUGCUAGAUGUUCGAGGGUUUCCGCCCUUGAGUGUCGCAGCUAACGCAUUAAGCACUCCGCCUGGGGGAGUACGACCGCAAGGUUGAAACUCAAGAAGAUUUGACGGGGA